This 738-nucleotide long non-coding RNA is filed under the name Oncorhynchus kisutch (coho salmon). RNAcentral describes it as "lncRNA (ENSOKIG00005028147.1)". Lineage: Eukaryota; Metazoa; Chordata; Actinopteri; Salmoniformes; Salmonidae. The record is from RNAcentral.
GUCAGGGCCUGUCGCGGGCUGCUUAAUGACUGAGGUCAGAGGUCAGUGGUGACUAAUGGCUUGAUGGGGCUGGUGGCACUGGGGAGUCUUUAGUACCUCUGGCCAUGUCUCUGUAUGUCGGUCUCUCACUCACUCCACACACACACACACACACACACACACACACACACACACACACACACACACACACACACACACACAUAUAUAUAAGUGUGUCUUGGUCUCUAGAACAGUAGCUACUACAUACAUACAAAUUAUCUCCCUCUCUCUCCACCUCCUUGUCUCUCUCUCCUUAAUUUCUCCAUGCCUCUUUCACUCUAUCAUUGUUCCUACCCCUCUCUUUCUCUCUCACUGCUCUCCCCCACCUCUACUAUUUCCCACCGACUCCCCUCUCCAGGACGGCCGAAUGCGGGUCAACGACCAGCUGAUUGCGGUGAACGGCGAGGAGCUGUUGGACCUCUCCAACCACGUCGCCACGGAGACCCUACGCCACUCCAUGUCCUGGGAGGGCAAUGCCCGCGGCACCAUCCAAUUGGUGCUCCUCCGCGCCGCCCCCUCAGCGCCAACGCACAGGAGAGCCAGGAGGCGGCUAGCCACCAGGUCCCAGACGGCCCCUCCGGAACCCCGGCUCUAGCUGCAGCCCUGGAGUCCCACCACCACAGCAACGGUCCCAGCCCCCAGCCGUCCAUGGUCCCAGCUUUUGAGGUGAGAGGACACAGUAGGGCCUGAACUAGGGAA